Molecule: long non-coding RNA, 442 nt
Organism: Bos taurus (domestic cattle)
Lineage: Eukaryota; Metazoa; Chordata; Mammalia; Artiodactyla; Bovidae
Source: Ensembl
GUAUCUGACUCCUUGAAACCCCAUGGACUGUAGCCUGGCAGGCUCCUCCAUCCAUGGGAUUAUCCAGGCAAAAUACUGGAAUGGGUUGCCAUUUCCUUCUCCAGAGGAUCUUCCCAACCCAGGGAUCAAACUCGGGUCUCCUUCAUUGCAGACAGACUCUACCGUCUGAGCCUGUAAAAGGUUAUCUGUGGACAUCUUGGCACCUCUACAAACUAUAAUCUCCCUGAAGGUGGCACUUGGGAUUUACUACAUUGUAAGGAUUAAAAAUGUUUUUUGGAAAAAGCAAAUAGAAAUUUUGACAUGAGUCAUGACACUCUGGAAAAAACUCAUGCACGAUUUAUAAUAUUACUGUAAACUUCUGGUUUUGUCUUGAACUCUGUCUUUCUGAAACCUUUGCAAUGUUCAUGAGAAUCUUUCUUAAUGUUGUUAAAAACAAAACAAC